CAAAGGAAGUUGACGGGGCCCGCACAAGCGGUGGAGUAUGUGGUUUAAUUCGAUGCAACGCGAAGAACCUUACCUGGUCUUGACAUCCCGGAGACCCUUAGGAAACUAGGGGGUGCUUCCAUCUGGAAGAAUCUGGAGACAGGUGCUGCAUGGCUGUCGUCAGCUCGUGUCGUGAGAUGUUGGGUUAAGUCCCGCAACGAGCGCAACCCUUGCCUUUAGUUGCCAGCAGUUCGGCUGGGCACUCUAAAGGGACUGCCGGUGUUAAACCGGAGGAAGGUGGGGAUGACGUCAAGUCCUCAUGGCCUUUAUGACCAGGGCUACACACGUACUACAAUGGCCGAUACAAAGGGCAGCGACACUGCGAGGUGAAGCCAAUCCCGUAAAAUCGGUCUCAGUCCGGAUUGGAGUCUGCAACUCGACUCCAUGAAGUUGGAAUCGCUAGUAAUCGUGGAUCAGCAUGCCACGGUGAAUACGUUCCCGGGCCUU
This 486-nucleotide ribosomal RNA is filed under the name uncultured Desulfobulbus sp. RNAcentral's name for it is "bacterial SSU rRNA". It matches the Rfam family "Bacterial small subunit ribosomal RNA", at positions 902 to 1382 of the family's 1533-position model. Lineage: Bacteria; Pseudomonadati; Thermodesulfobacteriota; Desulfobulbia; Desulfobulbales; Desulfobulbaceae. The record is from RNAcentral.